RNAcentral lists this long non-coding RNA (493 nucleotides) under Ananas comosus (pineapple). RNAcentral's name for it is "long non-coding RNA (ACOM_LNC003299)". The record is from RNAcentral. Lineage: Eukaryota; Viridiplantae; Streptophyta; Magnoliopsida; Poales; Bromeliaceae.
UGGUUUGGAAUAUUAUAUUCUGUCAGGAUUACUAUAUUUGGAUUAUCCAAUCUAUAGUUUGAUCGGUAAUGUAGCAUUACAAAUGGUAUAGAAUUAUUCUGAAAAUAUUAUCGAGCGGGGGUGGGUAUCUCAUAUUACUGAUUGUGGGUAAUAUUACAUGUUAUCUAAAAUUACAAGUUUACCCCUCCAAACACCUAAACUGUUUCAAUACAUUAUUUUUAAAAUUUAAAUUUAAAAUUUUAAAUUGUAAAAUUUAAUUUUAAUUUUUAAAUUUUAAAUUUUAAAUUUUAAAUUUUAAAUUUUAAGCUUUUAAUUUUUUAAAUUUCAUAUUUCAUAUUUCAAUUUUCAAUUUUCAAAUCUCAAAUCUUUUUAAACCAUAAAUUUAUAUUUUAAAUUCUAAAAUUUAAAUUUUAAAUUUAUAUUAUAUUUUAAAUUUCAAAUUUAAAUUUCAAUUCAAAUUUUAUACAAAUUAAACUAAAAUUUAGUAAGAAAU